UACGAGGGGGGCAAGCGUUAUUCGGAAUUAUUGGGCGUAAAGGGCGCGUAGGCGGCCUGAUAAGUCAAAGGUGAAAUCCCUCGGCUCAACUGAGGAAUUGCCUUUGAAACUGUCAGGCUUGAGGCCGGGAGGGGGUGGCGGAAUUCCCAGUGUAGCGGUGAAAUGCGUAGAUAUUGGGAGGAACACCAGUGGCGAAGGCGGCCACCUGGACCGGUUCUGACGCUGAUGCGCGAAAGCGUGGGGAGCAAACAGG
This 253-nucleotide ribosomal RNA is filed under the name uncultured bacterium. RNAcentral describes it as "partial 16S ribosomal RNA". It matches the Rfam family "Bacterial small subunit ribosomal RNA", at positions 524 to 776 of the family's 1533-position model. The record is from RNAcentral.